UAGGCAACACUUAAAACAAUUAUUCAUAGCAAAGUUAUGUAAAGUUUCCUUUAUAUUUCCUUCUUAUGAUUACUGAUUUCAUUUCUCGGUUUUUUUAGGAUGUUUGUGGUCGUGACGUGUUUUCAACAAUGGCAUUUCCAGAUAAUUGGGAUAAUCAGACAUUUGUGAUUUUCACAGUUUCUUCAGAUUUUUCCAUGCAUCACCAUAUACUCGUAUCUGCUGAGACCUGCUGAAAAGUAGGACUACCAAAGAUAUUUUUGGGAAGUACCAAAUCUUCAGAGAUCGUUGGGUAUCCAUGGAGUUAAUAGCAUUCUACAUGUAUUGCGUAUUGAGACUGAAGAAAUACGAAGCCAGAUGAAAUAUUGCAAGACGAGUGUGAUGGGUCCUAAAGACACAGACUUAUCACUUUUUUCAAACUUUUUUCUUUUUUCUUCGGAUUCUCCCAGAUCCCGUAGAAUACCUGGUGACGUGUUAAGUACCUACUCUGUCGAUGUCCAGGGAGUUGGGUAAUUUACCAUGCCCAUGUGCAGCUUGAUGAAGCAAUCUAGAAACUGGAAUAUGCUUGUCAAAAAUGAAAUACUGCAGUAUGGUCUAAAGACUCUGGUCUGUCCAUUCAUAUUUUGAUCACAAUGUAACAGCUGUAAAAGUAUAUUGUCCUAGCUCAUUAAACAAUCUGGAAGUGGCAACGUUCUGUUACAAAUUAAGUUCAUAAUUUUAUUAACCCUAAUAGCUGCCCGAUUUGAUUGGUUCAAUGAAUGGUAUCUAUAUUACAAUACAUAUUCCUAACACUUGGCUAACCUCCCAUAUGUUGAUGGAACAGCAGCAGUAGAUUGUCUUGACCAAACCAAACCAAAUCUCAAAAUUGAUAGAGCUACCAGCAUUCUUCUUAAAAGUAUUUUUUUGAUGCUUCUGGCUGUUGCUUCCCUCCUACUCCUCCUAAUUUUUAACAGGAUUCACACACAGCAAAAAAUUUCCCGAUAUACCAAAAGAUUUGUUCUGUAUAUUAUAUAUAUAGUCUGUAAAACGAAUAACUUUGAAUUUGACAGUUCCCGCGGGCUUUUCUAGUGUAAAUUUUAUUAGGUU
Molecule: long non-coding RNA, 1083 nt
Organism: Sitophilus oryzae (rice weevil)
Lineage: Eukaryota; Metazoa; Arthropoda; Insecta; Coleoptera; Curculionidae
Exons: 5
Source: RefSeq, a predicted model, not a curated record